AGAGUCCUGAGGUGUACGUGGGACACUCAUCGUUUUGAGCCAACAUUUUCACAUUGGGAGCCUGCAGUUUCAAUCUGGAUAACAAGCCUCUAAUGAAGUGGACGUUUGAAGGAUUGAACAGGGCACCCACCUGCCAAGAGCAGGCUUCAAAACUAAGUUCGUUUGACGGCACAUCGGGACUCUU
RNAcentral lists this non-coding RNA (184 nucleotides) under Alteribacillus bidgolensis. Its description in RNAcentral is "Bacillus sp. P4B(2010) 6S / SsrS RNA". It matches the Rfam family "6S / SsrS RNA". Rfam says of the family: E. coli 6S RNA was the first non coding RNA to be sequenced, but its function was unknown until recently. Lineage: Bacteria; Bacillati; Bacillota; Bacilli; Caryophanales; Bacillaceae. The record is from Rfam by way of RNAcentral.